ACUUUUAUUGGAAAAACUCAUAUCCCUUUGGGGUGUGUAAAAACAGGAGGUGUGACAUUAUUGGCCUAAGCAAGUUUAUUUGAUGAUUGCCAAAGAAACUCAAACAUAAGCUAGGUCCAUAUACAAUAAAUACGGACAGAUUCAAGCACAAGGCAAACGCGCGAGGGAGUUUGGAUUUGCGUCUAAAUUCCCUCGGAUUCAAAUGCUCACUUAUGCAGUUUCCUUGUACUAAUUUGGGCAUGCUUUAACUGCUUGGAAGAUUGUGACCAUGUCUAUUUCUUUCUAGUUUCAUACUUUUUUUGGCCAAUUCGCUGCAGCAUAAGUGCAUACCAGCGAUGCAUGAUCACACUGAAAUAUGGCAAGAAAGGAGUAAAUUAGCAGAAAGCAUAGUGCAACAAUUCUAUAAGAAUCUUCGUCUAUCCAAUAAACUGUUAACAUAAAAAUAAAGUUGCCAAGUUCCAUAAGGUAGUUAAGUUUCAAAUAGUAUACAGUGUGAAACCAUAGAAUAUAAUAAAUGCUGAUUACUAAGUAUUGAUCGAUUAGGUAGCAGACAAAAACGACAAUAAAAGAUUAAGAUGUGCUAAGAAUUAUGAAAAAGGAGAAAUGAGGAUCCUUUGCUUUGUGAAGAAAAUUUUCAAGGUGGUGCUUUCGGUGAGCCGUGCCGCAAAAAGAAUGGGACGAUACUUGUUAAUUACUCCUUCCUUGCCCUCUUUCUUUCCCUACAGUACAUAUAUAUUUUGCCCUCUUACAAGCUGCCAUGAAAAUGAAACUCUGGUUCCAGUCUUUUUCAAAAUUUUAACCGUCCAAAAGUUGCUUUUGUCGCUGGUUACGACUUUGCUUACCUUACCUACAAUAAAGAAGUUUGGAAUUUAUCCAAGAGUAUUUAAAUUUGAAAGAAGUAAAAAAUAUUUUAACAAAGGGUAUUCAAUAUAAGUUAUAUACAUUUAAAAUAUACUUCUUUCGUUCUAUUAUAUAUGAACUUGUUUGACUGGAUAUGGAGUUUAAGAAAAAAUAAUUUUUUUAAAAAUUUAUGUUUAUAAAAAAGUCAAAAAGAUCCAGAAUUUGUAUAAUUAUUAAUAUUUCUCAUUAAAAAUAGAGUUGGGAGUUUAAGAUAAAUUAUUUUUGAAUUUAAAAAUAAAUUAUUUUUUUAGAACUAGCAAAAAAGAAAAUAUAUUCAAGUCAUUGUAAAACAUAUGAAGUAAACUUUUACUUAUAAUAUAUAAUGUAAUUUUUCAAAAAAGAUAAUGAACUCACCCUCCUUAUAACCACGUGGCUUACAUAUAUCCUAUAUCAUCUCUUAGAUUCACGUCCUGCCAAAUUCUAUACAUUCGUGGAACUGUACACUAACUGAAAUUCUAGUCAUUGUACUGUUCAUCAACAGUUCAUCUUUUGCUGGUUAUUGUCCAAACACCCAAUUUUGAAUUAAAUCUAAAGGACACUUAUAGUGUAAACUAAGGGUGAAUCAGAUGGGUUUGAAUAGGAAAAAUUUUGAAUCGUAUUGGGUUAGAACCGGGCCAAUUAUGGAGUAGGAAUUAUCGGGCUUAAGAGAUUAAACUUCAUUCACGUAAAAAAAUAAAUCGUAAGGAUUACGGGUACAAGAGGGCGGCCGAGCUGGGUUAGUAAUUUCUUUUUUGAUGUAGGAAAACAAUUUAAAGGUAGAAGACUUUUAAAUGUAAGAAGGAAAGAGAUUUUGUUUA
Molecule: long non-coding RNA, 1697 nt
Filed under: Nicotiana benthamiana
Lineage: Eukaryota; Viridiplantae; Streptophyta; Magnoliopsida; Solanales; Solanaceae
Description: long non-coding RNA (NBEN_LNC032973)
Source: RNAcentral